UACGUAGGUGACAAGCGUUGUCCGGAUUUACUGGGCGUAAAGAGCGCGCAGGCGGUCGAUCAAGUCGAGUGUGAAAGCCCCCGGCUCAACUGGGGAGAGUCAUUCGAUACUGAUCGACUCGAAGGCAGGAGAGGGUAGUGGAAUUCCCGGUGUAGUGGUGAAAUGCGUAGAUAUCGUAAGGAAGACCAGUGGCGAAGGCGAAUCUCUGGACAGUUACUGACACUGAGGCACGAAGGCCAGGGGAGCAAACGGG
Molecule: ribosomal RNA, 253 nt
Filed under: uncultured bacterium
Lineage: Bacteria
Description: partial 16S ribosomal RNA
Rfam family: Bacterial small subunit ribosomal RNA
Source: RNAcentral